This 228-nucleotide ribosomal RNA is filed under the name uncultured bacterium. RNAcentral's name for it is "partial 16S ribosomal RNA". It matches the Rfam family "Bacterial small subunit ribosomal RNA", at positions 524 to 750 of the family's 1533-position model. The record is from RNAcentral.
UACGAAGGGGGCUAGCGUUGUUCGGAAUUACUUGGGCGUAAAGCGCACGUAGGCGGAUUGUAAGUCAGGGGUGAAAUCCCGGGGCUCAACCUCGGAACUGCCUUUGGAUACUGCAAGUCUCGAGUCCGAUAGAGGUGAGUGGAAUUCCUAGUGUAGAGGUGAAAUUCGUAGAUAUUAGGAAGAACACCAGUGGCGAAGGCGGCUCACUGGAUCGGUACUGACGCUGAG